GACGAACGCUGGCGGCGUGCUUAACACAUGCAAGUCGAACGGAAAGGCCCUGCUUUUGUGGGGUGCUCGAGUGGCGAACGGGUGAGUAACACGUGAGUAACCUGCCCUUGACUUUGGGAUAACUUCAGGAAACUGGGGCUAAUACCGGAUAGGAGCUCCUGCUGCAUGGUGGGGGUUGGAAAGUUUCGGCGGUUGGGGAUGGACUCGCGGCUUAUCAGCUUGUUGGUGGGGUAGUGGCUUACCAAGGCUUUGACGGGUAGCCGGCCUGAGAGGGUGACCGGGCAAAUUGGGAAAUGGAGGCGGGCAAAGACCCGCAAGGGGGGAAACAGGGGGAAUAAUCGAAAGAGGGGGGGAGGCUGAUGGCAGCACCCCCGGGCGGGGGAGAGGGCCUUCGGGUUUAAAAUCCCUUUGCGCCUGUACAAAAGGGAGGGGGGGGGAAGUGGGUAAAGAAGCCCGGGCAAACUGCGCC
RNAcentral lists this ribosomal RNA (469 nucleotides) under uncultured bacterium. RNAcentral's name for it is "partial 16S ribosomal RNA". It matches the Rfam family "Bacterial small subunit ribosomal RNA", at positions 28 to 507 of the family's 1533-position model. The record is from RNAcentral.